GUGCGCUUCUGGAUCUGGUGGCAGUCGGCUGUGGUCCUCCACAUUUUCGCUAUCCUGCGCGGCGAGGACGACAGCGGACAGAUCAGACGGACGUGAUUUGACUUUGCUUCUGAUUCGGUGGAUCCCCACCGUACGAGAAUCAACUGUAUUCUUUUCCCUAUUCAAUUCAAUGAUGCAAUAAUGGUCACUCAUCCCUGAUGCAAUUCGACAUGAUCAAAUAAUGGAGAUAGAUGCGAGGCAAGUGACAAAAAAGAACAAGAUGUCAGAUAAAGAUUAGUUCUUGGUGCAUUCCUUACCCAUGUGAGAUUGAGUAUGCAAAACUGAUCAGCUUUUACUAAAGAGCAUACAAUAUGUUGAAUGCAUGCCAUCAUUACUUCCAUUAGUCUCUUUGCAAAAACCUAGUGUUUGAAAAAUUCAUCUUCAGAAAUUUCUUGUUUGUUUGCUUGCUGUUGUGUGCUUGAUCUAACAAUAGCUUUCUUCUGUCUAUUUAAAUUGAGGAAAAGAAUAAGAUGAACUUAUUUAUAGGUAUAUGGGUACUAUGAAAUAAUGAAAUGAACUUCUUCUGAAGAAAUUUUGCUCUUCUACACUAAAUUGGGAAUGGUUUGCCUAAGCAGAGCAACUGAUCUGUCAUACUUGAUGAAGGUUCUUUACUGUGCAUGUCUUGGCUUCUCAUUUGCUUGUAUUUCCUCUCAAAUGCUAUUCUUAUGCGUUCUCCAGCCUGCGAAGGACGUAAAACAUGAUCUUACAUAAAUAGCAAUUUCAUCAAUUGGAUGGAGGCAAAAUCAAUGCUGCUAUCAUAACCAUCACAUCCUGAACUGGGAAAGGCAUUACAUAAUCUAGAAGAGGAUGAGCGCGACGAUGCAGACCGGAAAAGAGCAAUUGGAUUCAUCAUUUUUACUGUCGAAGGAAUGCAGAGUUAAAUGGAUCCCCCAUCUUUUUCUCAUAUUGGUUGAAAGGAAUGCCCAGCAUUUCGGGGCUCAAUUUCUUCACGGGCAUGAAUGGAGGCAGAGUGAACGUGUCCGGAAAAGUGUCAGGUUGCUCAUCUACAUCAACAAAAUUGCAAAGGGCAUCGGAGACUCGCUUUAGCGACUGAAUAGCUGGACAGCCUCCUCAUCUUCCAACCUCGAAGCCGAGCAUCCCAUCUCUUCAAGACUGUCUAGGAAUGUUUCAGAUUGAAACCACAAUUUUGCAAGCCGAAGGAAAGAAGAUGAUAUCUGUUUGAGAAGCUCUCCUGAGGUAUGAGGAUUGAAAGAACUUGCGACAGUGGAGGUAACUUUAUAUCCCCUUUGGAUCUGCUCUCUCAGCAAAGAAAAUUCAGUCAGCAGAAACCCUUCUCCAGACUGAACCUUGGGAUCAAGGUAAUCGAGAGAGAGGCUGCAGAAGAUAAAAAAGGGAGGGGCAACGGUCAAAUGAUCUAAAAGAGAAGCACAGCGCAACACGGCGCAUAUAAGGAUGGAGGAAGGAGAGUACAACUUCGACGGG
Long non-coding RNA from Zingiber officinale, 1482 nucleotides. RefSeq lists it as uncharacterized. The transcript is spliced from 8 exons. The record is from RefSeq and is a predicted model, not a curated record. NCBI's taxonomy places the organism in Eukaryota, Viridiplantae, Streptophyta, Magnoliopsida, Zingiberales, Zingiberaceae.